GUGCAUGCGGAAGGAUCAUUGUCGAA
RNAcentral lists this ribosomal RNA (26 nucleotides) under Tecomella undulata. Its description in RNAcentral is "partial 18S ribosomal RNA". Lineage: Eukaryota; Viridiplantae; Streptophyta; Magnoliopsida; Lamiales; Bignoniaceae. The record is from RNAcentral.